RNAcentral lists this ribosomal RNA (510 nucleotides) under uncultured bacterium. Its description in RNAcentral is "partial 16S ribosomal RNA". It matches the Rfam family "Bacterial small subunit ribosomal RNA", at positions 28 to 507 of the family's 1533-position model. The record is from RNAcentral.
GACGAACGCUGGCGGCGUGCUUAACACAUGCAAGUCGAACGAAGAGCGAUGGAAGCUUGCUUCUAUCAAUCUUAGUGGCGAACGGGUGAGUAACGCGUAAUCAACCUGCCCUUCAGAGGGGGACAACAGUUGGAAACGACUGCUAAUACCGCAUACGAUCUAAUCUCGGCAUCGAGGAUAGAUGAAAGGUGGCCUCUACAUGUAAGCUAUCACUGAAGGAGGGGAUUGCGUCGGAUUAGCUAGUUGGAGGGGUAACGGCCCACCAAGGCGAUGAUCAGUAGCCGGUCUGAGAGGAUGAACGGCCACAUUGGGACUGAGACACGGCCCAGACUCCUACGGGAGGCAGCAGUGGGGAAUCUUCCGCCAUGGACGAAAGUCUGACGGAGCAACGCCGCGUGAGGGAUGACGGCCUUCGGGUUGUAAAGCUCUGUUAAUCGGGACGAAAGGCCUUCUUGCGAAUAGUGAGAAGGAUUGACGGUACCGGAAUAGAAAGCCACGGCUAACUACGUG